This 1053-nucleotide ribosomal RNA is filed under the name Triticum aestivum (bread wheat). RNAcentral's name for it is "partial small subunit ribosomal RNA". The record is from RNAcentral. Lineage: Eukaryota; Viridiplantae; Streptophyta; Magnoliopsida; Poales; Poaceae.
AUGGAGUACUGGCUCGAGCCGGCCGAGCUCGCCGCCCUGCGCCGGGAGGUCGGCGUCGACCCGUACUGGGUGCCGCCGCCAGGGUGGAAGCGCGGGGACCCCGUGUCCGCCGACGGCUACGCGCUCAAGGCAAAGAUGCAGGUGGAGGAGCUCACCAAGGAGCUCGCCGGAGUAAAAAGGCACAUGCAGCAGCUGGUGAAGGCACAUCAAGGCACAAUGAACAAUGAAAAGAAACCCGAGGCAGUCAAAGCCUGCAUUUCUCAUGAGCCUUAUCAGGACAAGUAUGAGUGUGUGAUGAAGGCCAAUGGCAAUCUGGAAAAGCAAGUCCUGUCCUUGGAGGAGAAGUACACCAGCGCGACACGGGCGAAUGGCAAGCUGGAGGAGGAGGUUCUGUUCCUCAAGGAGAAGUAUGAGGCUGUGCUUGAGAAGAACACCAGGCUGGAGCAGCAGGUGGCUGCUCUGUCCACUUCUUUCCUGUCUCUCAAGGAGGGCAUGCAGUUUCUGAAUGAUGGGGAGCAGCAGCAGCUGCGGAUCACGGGACCAGAGCCGCGUCUUCUUCUGUGCGCCAAGGAGUGCCGCCAAGCUGACAGGCAGGAGAGCAAUGGCGCAGGCGACCAGCUCGCCGACGUCGACGGCGACGGCGGGAAGUGCAGGGAGUGGCCGGACGAGGCGCAACCCUCGUCGCCGCGGACCCCGACGGCGGCGAGAGACGACGACGAGUGCGCGAUGGACGGCAGUCUCGAGCUCCCGCCCACGCCGCCGUCGGCCUCCUCCACCAACGCCGCCUCCUCCGCCAAGCUCCUGCUCCUCCCCGCCCCAGGCUCGCCGGUCCAGCCACCGGCCACCAGCAGCAGCCCCAGGGUUGACGUCUGCCUCCAGGAGCCAGCGCAGCCCCACUCCGGCGGCCUGGACCUGCAGCUCCGGCACACGGCGCAGGACGCGUCGUCGCUGCCGUUCCCGUGCGGAGCCGCCGUCGGCCUGCCGGAAAGCGGGAAGACGACGACCGGCGGCAGAGUGGGCACCGAGCUGGCCCUCGCCACCCCCUCCUACUGA